Molecule: long non-coding RNA, 1274 nt
Organism: Zootermopsis nevadensis
Lineage: Eukaryota; Metazoa; Arthropoda; Insecta; Blattodea; Termopsidae
Source: RefSeq, a predicted model, not a curated record
GAGCAUCUCAUUCUAGCAUGCAGCAGAGCGUUUUUUCACGUACUUACCGAUAACAUAGAAGUCGCAUUGAGAAGGCGGUAGUCGUCGUUUAAAUGAAGUGUUUGCCAUCUCCUUCAUCAGGACAAUAAAUGCACAGUUUGCUCAUCACCCCAAUGAUGGAGGCAGCAAGUACCAAUGAAUACCAGUAACAUUCCAGAUAACAACUCAGAAGACAGCCAACUUCAUACCUGCUGUCAUGAGAAACUGGAAUCUCAGACUGCUGUGGAUAAGAUGGUUUACUAGACGAGUCAAAAUAGCUUAAAGUGACACAUUUAGUACAACUACACUUUGCGGAAUUUUUUCUCAAAUCACCGAACUAAUUUUAGGCAGGUAUUUUAAGUCAAACAGUAUGCUUAUGGGUUAUCAGGAAUUCAGAUCAAAUAGUAGUUGAAUAUGGGACCUUGUUAGCUGGUGGAAAGUACUUUCAUGUCUCAUUUCCUAAUUUCAGUAUUUCUCUAGAAGUGAUACAGAAGGUCUGCCUCCUAACAGUCCCGUAACUGAAGAAAAAAGAUGGGUAGUCAAUCACUUACCUUCUUGGUGGAGUGGGUGAUUUUGCCUUUGACAAUGGACUUGAUAUUACCCUAGUUUUCUUCUUUCUUGUUUCAGUAACAGAUGAUUCAGUUUCUUCUUCUUCUUGAAAGAGAGGACAGAGUUCAAAUUAAUAAUCCACAUUUUUAAUUUGGAUGAAGAACUUUCCCUAAAAUUACCUCCAAAACAGACCCUCUAUCUCAUCCUCGAAAUACACAGGGAAAACAUAAAUGAUCAUUACUGUUUCACACACUAAUUUAACAAAAACUAAACAGACUACAGAAACAAAACUUUAAUUUGAGAGCCGUUUAAUGAAUUUCAAGAUAAGGCUGAAUCUGGAAAAGGAGGCGUUCAGGCCAGUCAGGUAUCAGAAAAGAAACAAAAGUGCCCAGCAGUCGCUUCUGAGAAAACACCUUGGCCCACAUCCCUACAAAAUUUAAAAAUUUACAGAACACUAUGCCAAAUGACAGAGUGCCACGUUUUGAAUUUUGCUGUGACAUGAUGAACCAUCUUGGUGCAGAUUGAACAUGUAUGUCCAAAAUGCUUUCUAAGGUUCAGUUGUCACUUUAAUGUCAUGUGAACAACUAUGAUCCCAGUGGUCAUCAAGUUACAUCACUUCUCCUGCAUGCUAAAUAUUUUUGUAGCAUGUUUUCCAACAGUGUAAUGCCAUUCAGUGUUUGUUAAAUAAAGAUUUGGAACCAUUCAAA